CAGCAGCCGCGGGAACACGAAGGGUGCAAGCGUUACUCGGAAUUACUGGGCGUAAAGCGCACGCAGGCGGUCUGUCAAGUCAGAUGUGAAAUCCCCGGGCUUAACCUGGGAACUGCAUUUGAGACUGGCAGGCUAGAGUCUUGUAGAGGGGGGUAGAAUUCCGCGUGUAGCAGUGAAAUGCGUAGAGAUGUGGAGGAACACCGAUGGCGAAGGCAGCCUCCUGGGAUAACACUGACGCUCAUGCACGAAAGCGUGGGGAGCAAACAGGAUUAGAUACCCGGGUAGUCCCUGUCUCUUAUAC
This 301-nucleotide ribosomal RNA is filed under the name uncultured bacterium. Its description in RNAcentral is "partial 16S ribosomal RNA". It matches the Rfam family "Bacterial small subunit ribosomal RNA", at positions 509 to 807 of the family's 1533-position model. The record is from RNAcentral.